GCACGAGUUCAGACUCGUGGCGAAUAGCUCAGUAACACGUGGCCAAACUACCCUUCGGAACACAAUACCCUCGGGAAACUGAGGCUAAUAGUGUAUAACGUACCACCACUGGAAUGAGUGGUACGCUAAACGCUCCGGCGCCGAAGGAUGUGGCUGCGGCCGAUUAGGUAGACGGUGGGGUAACGGCCCACCGUGCCAAUAAUCGGUAUGGGUCAUGAGAGUGAGAACCCAGAGACGGAAUCUGAGACAAGAUUCCGGGCCCUACGGGGCGCAGCAGGCGCGAAACCUUUACACUGCACGACAGUGCGAUAGGGGGAUCCCAAGUGCACAGGCAUAGCGCCUGUGCUUUUCGGCACCCUAAGGCGGUGCCAGAAUAAGGGCUGGGCAAGACCGGUGCCAGCCGCCGCGGUAAUACCGGCAGCCCAAGUGAUGGCCGAUCUUAUUGGGCCUAAAGCGUCCGUAGCUGGCCGCGCAAGUCCAUCGGGAAAUCCACCUGCUCAACAGGUGGGCGCCCGGUAGAAACUGCGUGGCUUGGGACCGGAAGGCGCGACGGGUACGUCCGGGGUAGGAGUGAAAUCCCGUAAUCCUGGACGGACCGCCGAUGGCGAAAGCACGUCGCGAGAACGGAUCCGACAGUGAGGGACGAAAGCCAGGGUCUCGAACCGGAUUAGAUACCCGGGUAGUCCUGGCCGUAAACAAUGUCUGCUAGGUGUGGCUCCCACUACGAGUGGGUGCUGUGC
This 740-nucleotide ribosomal RNA is filed under the name Halorubrum ezzemoulense. Its description in RNAcentral is "bacterial SSU rRNA". It matches the Rfam family "Archaeal small subunit ribosomal RNA", at positions 60 to 801 of the family's 1478-position model. Lineage: Archaea; Methanobacteriati; Methanobacteriota; Halobacteria; Halobacteriales; Haloferacaceae. The record is from RNAcentral.